AGGAAUUCCGUCGGAAUCCGGGAGGACCAUCUCCCAAGGCUAAAUACUCCCUAGUGACCGAUAGUGAACCAGUACCGUGAGGGAAAGGUGAAAAGCACCCCGGAAGGGGAGUGAAAUAGAACCUGAAACCGUGUGCCUACAACAAGUCAAAGCCCGUUAAUGGGUGAUGGCGUGCCUUUUGUAGAAUGAACCGGCGAGUUACGAUUGCAUGCGAGGUUAAGUUGAAGAGACGGAGCCGCAGCGAAAGCGAGUCUGAAUAGGGCGUUUGAGUAUGUAGUCGUAGACCCGAAACCAUGUGAUCUACCCAUGUCCAGGUUGAAGGUGCGGUAAAACGCACUGGAGGACCGAACCCACGUACGUUGAAAAGUGCGGGGAUGAGGUGUGGGUAGCGGAGAAAUUCCAAACGAACUUGGAGAUAGCUGGUUCUCUCCGAAAUAGCUUUAGGGCUAGCCUCGGAAUUGAGAAUGAUGGAGGUAGAGCACUGUUUGGACUAGGGGCCCAUCUCGGGUUACCGAAUUCAGAUAAACUCCGAAUGCCAUUCAUUCAUAUCCGGGAGUCAGACUGUGAGUGAUAAGAUCCAUAGUCGAAAGGGAAACAGCCCAGACCACCAGCUAAGGUCCCAAAAUAUAUGUUAAGUGGAAAAGGAUGUGGGGUUGCACAGACAACUAGGAUGUUGGCUUAGAAGCAGCCACCAUUUAAAGAGUGCGUAAUAGCUCACUAGUCGAGUGACCCUGCGCCGAAAAUGUACCGGGGCUAAACAUAUUACCGAAGCUGUGGAGUACACCUUUAGGUGU
Molecule: ribosomal RNA, 794 nt
Filed under: Enterococcus hirae
Lineage: Bacteria; Bacillati; Bacillota; Bacilli; Lactobacillales; Enterococcaceae
Description: partial 23S ribosomal RNA
Rfam family: Bacterial large subunit ribosomal RNA
Source: RNAcentral